RNAcentral lists this long non-coding RNA (3502 nucleotides) under Anolis carolinensis (green anole). RNAcentral's name for it is "lncRNA (ENSACAG00000037764.1)". The record is from RNAcentral. Lineage: Eukaryota; Metazoa; Chordata; Lepidosauria; Squamata; Anolidae.
AUGCAGUUUUCAUGUCUGAUGCCUGGGAAAUGUAGUUUAGGGCAGGAUCUUUUUAAUUCUCUACAACAGGGGUUCUCAUUGUUGGGAGCUGAAUCAAAGUUGAGAGGCAGUAACUCCAAAGUGUACCUAGUUUCUUCUUCUUCUUCUUCUUCUUCUUCUUCUUCUUCUUCUUAUUAUUAUUAUUAUUAUUUCGAAGGCUCGAUGGGCAUCUGUUGGGGGUGCUUUGACUGUGCAUUUCCUGCCUGGCAGAAGGGGGUUGGACUGGAUAGCCCCUGGGGUAUUCCAGUGAAAUAGUGCUGUUAAGUUUAUAUUGGUUAAAAUUCCCCCAAAAUCAGUAGAUGUGCAAAUCUUUCUGAAAUUUAGGAGGAAUGAUGCCCUGGUUAUGUUGUAUCAUUGGAAAUAGAAAUUCAAGGAGAUAGCUCUUGUACGUUUUUUAAAUGUUGUUCAUUAAAUAAAAUCAGUGGAUAUGUGAAAUAUUCUGAAACUUGGGGGGGGGGUUAACAAUGGUAAAUGCAUUGUACAAUUGUAGUAAGUUUCAUCCAGUUAACUUUACAAAAGAGGGAGAAAGGAGCCCUGGAAGCUUCCCCAUGUGCACAAUUACAUAAUGAAAAAAUAAUUAAAAAAUUCAUUACUUCACUAUAGUUAUGAUAUGAAUCCCUUACAAUAUUUUAGAAACACUUUGGGAAUGAUUCGCCACCCCCCUAAUUUAGUAAUGAAUAUGGAAACAUUUUUUCAUUGAUCACACAGGUGUAAUAUGUAUUUUAACACAUGAGGUUUUCACAUACAUAUUAUGCUUUAUUUGAAAAUGGGUUUAGGAUCAUCUUUAUGUCCUAAAUGUGGUGUGUGUGUGUGUGUGUGUGUGUGUAUAGUAUAUACUCAAGUAUAAGCCUAGUUUUUCAGCCUUUUUUUAAGACUGAAAAAGCCCCCCUCGGCUUAUACUCGAGAAUAUAUGGUACAUUUAUUAUUUUUCUCUAUUAUUAUUGGUAUUGUUACAUUUAUUAUUUUUCUCUAUGAUUGUUGCUACUAUUACAUUUAUUUCACUCUAUUUUAUUAUUAUUAAUAAUAAUACAUUUAUUAUUUCACUCUGAAUGUAUUGCUAUUAUUAUUGCAUUUAUUAUUUUACUCUAUUUAUUAUUACAUGUAUUAUUUUACUCUAUUAUUAUUAAAAGGAUACAUAAGCACAUUACAUUGAAGAAGAUGAGGAUAAUGAUUUGAUCAGAGUUGUACAGUCUUAUCUUAAAUUUGAGCUUUAUGUAAAUAUUCAAAAACAUUUAACCCAUUGAUGCCUCAAUUAAUGUAAUUUUAUUGGUAUCUAUGUUUAUUUCUGAAAUUUACCACCCUCGGCUUAUACUGGAGUCAAUGUUUUCCCAGUUUUUUUGUGGUAAAAUUAGGUGCCUCGGCUUAUAUUCGGGUUGGCUUAUACUUGAGUAUAUACGGUGUGUGUGUGUGUGUGUGUGUGUGUGUGUGUGUGUGUGUGUAUAUAUAUAUAUAUAUAUAUAUAUAUAUAUAUAUAUAUAAAAUAAAUGAGAACCUGCAAAGAGUCAGAGUGGUAUGGCUUGACUAUAGGACAACUACACUGGAAGAGCAGGGUUUACAUACCCACUUUGCCAUGCAAACCCAUUGGGUAGCUUUGGCCUUAUCACACUCUCUCAGCCUAAAAGGAAGGCAAGGGCAAAUUCUGCCAAGAAAGACCAGUGAUAUGAUCACCUUUGGGUUACCACAAGUUAGAAAUGACUUAAAGGGACUCAAGAACAACCACACAACUUAUCAACAUGGCUUUACAACUGUUAUUUGGCAAAACUUGUAUAGCAAAGGUUUUUACAAAUAGAUUGCUGGUAGUAGGAAAUCUCUGCAAGUCCAAACCCUUGAUAUCAUACAGUGUGCACUCUCAAACUGAACUGGUAGGCACACAUUCACUAUGCAAGCAUGUAAAGUGUACCCCUCUACAAUUUGCAUGGAGCCCAAUAUUUCUGGGGAGCUGCCAUUGAGAAUUUUGAAGAGUUCAUAUACAUGAGAGGUAAUAAUGAGGGAAAGUAGAAAAUCUGAAAGAACAAAGAGAUUAAGAAGAGCAUAGGGGAAGGGUGACUAUUACAAAGAAUAUCUAAUGAAUACAGAGAAGGAUCAAACUUUAGCUAAUGUUCUCAGUGCACAAGUAAUUCAGCAAGAGCUUGGAAUUCAGGUAACAUCAAGAUGCAUUCCAAUCCCAACUUUUAGAAAUAGGCAAGCCUAUGUUAAUACGAUGUUGAAGGCUUUCAUGGCUGGAAUCACUAGGUUGUGGUGCAUUUUCUGGGCUGUAUGGCCAUGUUCCAGAAGCAUUCUCUCCUGACGUUUUGCCUACAUCUAUGGCAGGCAUCCUUAGAGGUUGUGAGGUAUAUUGGAAUACCAAGUAAGGGAGGUUUAUAUAUCUGUGGAAGGUAUAGGGUGGGAGAAAGAACUCUUGUAAUGGUGAAUGUUGUAAUUAGUCACCUUGAUUAGCAUUAAUGGCCUUGCCAGAUUCAUUCUUGCCUGGGGGAAUCCUUUGUUCAAAGGUGUUAGCUACUCCUGAUUGAUUAAUGUCUGUAAUUCCUCUGUUUUCAGAGUGUUCUUUAUUUACUGUUCUGAUUUUAGAGUUUUUUAAUACUGUAGCCAGAUUUUGUUCAUUUUCAUGGUUUCCUCCUUUCUGUUGAAAUUGUCCACAUGCUUGUGGAUUUCAGUGGCUUCUCUGUGUAGUCUGACAUGAUAGCUGUUAGAGUGGUCCAGCAUUUCUGUGUCCUCAAAUAUUAUGAUGUGCCCACGUUGGUUCAUCAAGUGCUCUACUAUGGCUGACUUCUCUAGUUGAGUUAGUCUGCAGCACCUUUCGUGUUCCUUGAUUUGUGUUCCUUGAUUCUAUGUUAAUAUAUUGUGUUCCAUCCCAUCCCAUCCUAUUUGUUUUGUUUGAAAUUAAAUUCAAUACUUUUAAAAUUGUUCCUAUGCCUUUCUUCCUACUUUGACUCUUCUUACUGAUGACAUUAUUUUCAGGAAAUGUUGAGAUUCAUUAGCAUCCUAGAGCCUGUAUUGUCAGACAUGAAGACAGCGGAUCUUCAUUAUUGUAGUUACAUCCGAAUAUAUCGCCUUCCAAAAACCAACUUUUCUAUCUAAGCAGAAUCCCAACUGGAGGGCUUCUAAAACACUACAUGAAAUGCUGGGAAAUGACAUCCAUAGUUCUCUCCCAGUCACGUGGCAUGUUGAAGAAAGACAGAUUAAGAGACAGAUAUGAUCUUGCUGCAAAUGCAUGUCUCAAUGUUUCCUGUGACAGGGGUCCUCCAGACAUCACUCCUUAGUGCUCCAAUCUACUAUGCCUUGGAAGCUCUUCAGUUGAGACACUGCCUGGCAACAGUAAUAUUCAACUUUAAACACGAACUCUAAAAGCUAUGAGACUGUAAAUCUGGUUUACAAUGCUGUAACUACUACUACUACUACUACUACUAAUAAUAAUAAUAAUAAUAAUACUGAAAGAAAAUUGCACAGACAGACUACAAACAGA